UAGUAAUAUACUAUAGGUCUUGGAGUUAGCCUGCAAAGGCGCUCCAUUACCGCCAAACCUUGUAAAUAUAACUUAAUUGUUACCUCGGUGGGCUCGCCUGCCGGCGGACAUAAUUAAACUCUUUUAAAAAUUGUCUGCAAAUAUUGUAAAAGUCUGAACUUUAAUGUUAAUAUAUUA
Molecule: unclassified non-coding RNA, 177 nt
Filed under: uncultured Lophium
Lineage: Eukaryota; Fungi; Ascomycota; Dothideomycetes; Mytilinidiales; Mytilinidiaceae
Description: sequence contains ITS1
Source: RNAcentral